GCCUGGUUGGCUUAGUGGUUAAGCAUCUGCCUUUGGCUCAGGUGGUGAUCCCAGGACCCUGGGAUCAAGUCCUGCAUCGGGCU
This 83-nucleotide transfer RNA is filed under the name Vulpes vulpes (red fox). It matches the Rfam family "tRNA". From Rfam's summary of the family: Transfer RNA (tRNA) molecules are approximately 80 nucleotides in length. Their secondary structure includes four short double-helical elements and three loops (D, anti-codon, and T loops). The record is from Rfam by way of RNAcentral. Lineage: Eukaryota; Metazoa; Chordata; Mammalia; Carnivora; Canidae. RNAcentral also lists the same sequence under 1 other name.